RNAcentral lists this ribosomal RNA (301 nucleotides) under uncultured bacterium. RNAcentral describes it as "partial 16S ribosomal RNA". It matches the Rfam family "Bacterial small subunit ribosomal RNA", at positions 509 to 809 of the family's 1533-position model. The record is from RNAcentral.
CAGUCGCCACGGUAAUACGUAGGUGGCAAGCGUUGUCCGGAAUUAUUGGGCGUAAAGCGCGCGCAGGUGGUUUAAUAAGUCUGAUGUGAAAGCCCACGGCUCAACCGUGGAGGGUCAUUGGAAACUGUUAAACUUGAGUGCAGGAGAGAAAAGUGGAAUUCCUAGUGUAGCGGUGAAAUGCGUAGAGAUUAGGAGGAACACCAGUGGCGAAGGCGGCUUUUUGGCCUGUAACUGACACUGAGGCGCGAAAGCGUGGGGAGCAAACAGGAUUAGAUACCCCGGUAGUCCCUGUCUCUUAUAA